Molecule: long non-coding RNA, 987 nt
Filed under: Sus scrofa (pig)
Lineage: Eukaryota; Metazoa; Chordata; Mammalia; Artiodactyla; Suidae
Description: lncRNA (ENSSSCG00030051337.1)
Source: RNAcentral
CAGGGGGGCAGGUGUACCUUAAUGCAUGGAGUCAACCUCAGGUGUGACCUCUAGCCCACAGCAGCAGCAGCGGAGAACUCACGUUCUUCUCAGAGAAAGGAAAGAAGGGCAGAGCUGAAUCAAGCCUGCCCAGUUGUGCUCCCGAGAAGCACCUGUGCCCAGGCAGUGAGUGAAACUCCUAGAAGGAAGCAUCAGGGGAGGGGGGCAGCAUUCUCUGUCUUAGGAGAACAGACUCGUAAAGUGUGAGAGGUAGUUGCCUUGCCGUCUUGCUCAGAUGUCUUCAAGUCCUCACGUUUGCAUCCCCAACUUUAUUCUGCAGAAGAAAGCAGCCAAUGAUAUCUCAACCCCAUCUUUAAUGGCCAGUUCAUCACACUAAGGGGAAGGAGAUGUUUGAUUUUGUCUGAAUGCAAAAAGUUCAGUAGAUCCUAGAGGAAGCCUCCAGAGACUUGUUACAGAGCAAAGAAGAGGUUCUAAGGUGGAUGGGAAUCUUCACCCCCACAGAGAAGGAUGUGUGUCCAUGAGGAAAGGUGCCUUAAAAAUACUGGCCGAAUCAAAGCAAACAAGUGAACUUGAAAAUGGACCACAAAGAAAGAUGAACACAUUGCCCUGGAUGAACACAUCCUUCGGUGAGUUGAUAAGAUGUGCUCUUGCCUGAGGUCUCCACAGGAUGCUACCCGUGGAGGAAAGUGAUAGUCCUUCCUGAAGGGACCACUCAGCAUCAUCUUAUAUAACAUGUGAACAGGGCUGUAAUGCAGUGGAAGCUUAUAAAUGAUCUUGCUGUAUAAAGUAGCCUUGUUUGCCUGCACUGGACACUAAGCUAUGCAGAGUUUGUGUUAGGAAAGCAGCCCUGACACCAAACAUUUGAUCUGUCAAUUUAGUCUUGGAUUUUGGGAAUUUUCUCCACAUCCACUUCACGAGAAAGGCCAUUGCGUCACUACCAAGUGUUGAGUACAUUUUGAAAGGCACUUGAACCUUACAAGUCUCCCC